RNAcentral lists this ribosomal RNA (465 nucleotides) under uncultured bacterium. RNAcentral describes it as "partial 16S ribosomal RNA". It matches the Rfam family "Bacterial small subunit ribosomal RNA", at positions 339 to 795 of the family's 1533-position model. The record is from RNAcentral.
CUACGGGAUGCAGCAGUGAGGAAUUUUGCGCAAUGGGGGAAACCCUGACGCAGCAACGCCGCGUGAGUGAAGAAGGCCUUUGGGUCGUAAAGCUCUGUCAACAGGGAAGAAAUUAAUGACAUUUAAUAGAUGUUGUUAUUGACGGUACCUGUGGAGGAAGCGCCGGCUAACUCCGUGCCAGCAGCCGCGGUAACACGGGGGGCGCAAGCGUUAUUCGGAAUUAUUGGGCGUAAAGGGCGCGCAGGCGGUCUUGUCCGUCAGGUGUGAAAGCUCGGGGCUCAACCCCGGAAGUGCACUUGAAACAGCAAGACUUGAAUACGGGAGAGGAGAGCGGAAUUCCUGGUGUAGAGGUGAAAUUCGUAGAUAUCAGGAGGAACACCGAUGGCGAAGGCAGCUUUCUGGACCGAUAUUGACGCUGAGGCGCGAAGGCGUGGGGAGCGAACGGGAUUAGAUACCCCGGUAGUC